AAAUGAAUUGACGGGAGCCCGCACAAGCGGUGGAGCAUGUGGUUUAAUUCGAUGCAACGCGAAGAACCUUACCUGGGCUCGAAGUGUAGUGUAAACUCAUGAAAGUGAGGUAUCCCUUCGGGGAGCGCUACAUAGGUGCUGCAUGGCUGUCGUCAGCUCGUGUCGUGAGAUGUUGGGUUAAGUCCCGCAACGAGCGCAACCCUUGUCCUUAGUUGCCAUCAGGUAAAGCUGGGAACUCUAAGGAGACUGCCGGCGUUAAGUCGGAGGAAGGUGGGGAUGACGUCAAGUCCUCAUGGCCCUUACGUCCAGGGCUACACACGUGCUACAAUGGCCGGUACAAAACGUCGCAAAACCGCGAGGUCAAGCUAAUCGUAAAAAACCGGUCUCAGUUCGGAUUGCUCUCUGCAACUCGAGAGCAUGAAGUCGGAAUCGCUAGUAAACGCGAAUCAGCAGGUCGCGUUGAAUACGUUCCCGGGCUUUGUACACACCGCCCGU
This 495-nucleotide ribosomal RNA is filed under the name uncultured bacterium. RNAcentral describes it as "bacterial SSU rRNA". It matches the Rfam family "Bacterial small subunit ribosomal RNA", at positions 903 to 1397 of the family's 1533-position model. The record is from RNAcentral.